GAUGAACGCUGGCGGAGUGCCUAAUACAUGCAAGUCGAGCGGCAGCGCGAGUAGUUUACUACUUGGCGGCGAGCGGCGGACGGCUGAGUAACGCGUGGGAACGUGCCCCAAAGUGAGGAAUAACUGCCCGAAAGGGUAGCUAAUACCGCAUAUGGUCUUCGGAUUAAAGGAUUUAUCCGCUUUGGGAGCGGCCCGCGUCAGAUUAGGUUGUUGGUGAGGUAAAGGCUCACCAAGCCGACGAUCUGUAGCUGGUCUGAGAGGAUGAUCAGCCAGACUGGGACUGAGACACGGCCCAGACUCCUACGGGAGGCAGCAGUAAGGAAUCUUCCACAAUGGACGAAAGUCUGAUGGAGCAACUCCGCGUGCAGGAUGAAGGCCUUCGGGUUGUAAACUGCUUUUAUGAGUGAAGAAUAUGACGGUAACUCAUGAAUAAGGGUCGGCUAACUACGUGCCAGCCGCCGCCGUAA
This 467-nucleotide ribosomal RNA is filed under the name uncultured bacterium. Its description in RNAcentral is "partial 16S ribosomal RNA". It matches the Rfam family "Bacterial small subunit ribosomal RNA", at positions 28 to 523 of the family's 1533-position model. The record is from RNAcentral.